GCAGGAGUGGUGGAAUUGGCAGACACGUACGUUUGAGGGGCGUAUGGCAAUAGCCUUGAGGGUUCAAAUCCCUUCUCCUGCA
RNAcentral lists this transfer RNA (82 nucleotides) under Sporanaerobacter acetigenes DSM 13106. It matches the Rfam family "tRNA". Rfam says of the family: Transfer RNA (tRNA) molecules are approximately 80 nucleotides in length. Their secondary structure includes four short double-helical elements and three loops (D, anti-codon, and T loops). Lineage: Bacteria; Bacillati; Bacillota; Tissierellia; Tissierellales; Sporanaerobacteraceae. The record is from Rfam by way of RNAcentral.